GCAUCCAUGGUUGAAUAGCAAAAGCACCCAAAUUAUAAUUAGCGAAUUCAUAGGUUCAAUUCUAAUUGGAUGCA
Non-coding RNA from Populus trichocarpa (black cottonwood), 74 nucleotides. Lineage: Eukaryota; Viridiplantae; Streptophyta; Magnoliopsida; Malpighiales; Salicaceae. The record is from Rfam.